Molecule: ribosomal RNA, 271 nt
Filed under: uncultured bacterium
Lineage: Bacteria
Description: partial 16S ribosomal RNA
Rfam family: Bacterial small subunit ribosomal RNA
Source: RNAcentral
CGCCGGCGACCGGCGCACGGGUGAGUAACACGUAUGCGACCUGCCCCCGCAGGGGGAUAACCGGGAGAAAUCCCGACUAAUACCGCGUAACGCCGCGGACCUGCAUGGGUCUGCGGCCAAAGGAAGCGAUUCCGGCGGGGGAUGGGCAUGCGGCGCAUUAGCUAGUCGGCGGGGUAACGGCCCACCGAGGCGACGAUGCGUAGGGGUUCUGAGAGGAAGGUCCCCCACACUGGUACUGAGACACGGACCAGACUCCUACGGGAGGCAGCAG